Phyllostomus discolor (pale spear-nosed bat) is the source of this 164-nucleotide small nuclear RNA. RefSeq annotates it as U1 spliceosomal RNA. The transcript has a single exon. The record is from RefSeq and is a predicted model, not a curated record. NCBI's taxonomy places the organism in Eukaryota, Metazoa, Chordata, Mammalia, Chiroptera, Phyllostomidae.
AUGCUUAGCUGGAAGAGGAGAUACCACAAUUGUGAAGGUGGUUUUCUUGGGGUAAGGCUCACCCAUUGCAUUAUGGGUCUGCUGACCCCUGCAAUUUCCCCAAAUGUGGGAAAUACAACUGAACAGUUUGUGGUAGUGGGGGACUGUGUUUGCGCUCUCCCCUG